UCCUACGGGAGGCAGCAGUGAGGAAUUUUCUGCAAUGGGCGAAAGCCUGACAGAGCAAUACCGCGUGAGGGAUGAAGACUUACUGAGUUGUAAACCUCGGUACCUUAAGGAAGAAGAUAUGACGGUACUUAAGGUGGAAAGCAUCGGCUAACUCCGUGCCAGCAGCCGCGGUAAGACGGGGGAUGCAAGUGUUAUCCGGAUUUACUGAAAAAAAGCGUCUGCAGGUGGUUUCUUAAGUCUACUGUUAAAUCUUGAGGCUCAACCUCAAAUCUGCAGUAGAAACUAGGAGACUUGAGUAUAGUAGGGGUAGAGGGAAUUUCCAGUGGAGCGGUGAAAUGCGUAGAUAUUGGAAAGAACACCGAUGGCGAAGGCACUCUACUGGGCUAUUACUGACACUCAGAGACGAAAGCUAGGGGAGCAAAUGGGAUUAGAUACCCCAGUAGUCCUAGCCGUAAACGAUGGAUACUCGAUGUUGGACGUAUCGACCCGUUCAGUAUCUUAGCUAACGCGUUAAGUAUCCCGCCUGGGGAGUACGCUCGCAAGAGUGAAACUCAAAGGAAUUGACGGA
Molecule: ribosomal RNA, 568 nt
Filed under: uncultured bacterium
Lineage: Bacteria
Description: bacterial SSU rRNA
Rfam family: Bacterial small subunit ribosomal RNA
Source: RNAcentral